RNAcentral lists this ribosomal RNA (563 nucleotides) under uncultured euryarchaeote. Its description in RNAcentral is "bacterial SSU rRNA". It matches the Rfam family "Archaeal small subunit ribosomal RNA", at positions 20 to 596 of the family's 1478-position model. Lineage: Archaea; Methanobacteriati; Methanobacteriota. The record is from RNAcentral.
GAGAGUGCUGCUAUUUGGAUUCGAUUAAGCCAUGCAAGCUUCUAGCAAUAGAGGCGGAAGGCUCAGUAACACGUCGUUAAUCUGCCCUAAGGUCAGGGAUACCCACGGGAAACUGUGAUUAAUACCUGAUAAGGAAUCGAUACUGGAAUGUUUGAUUCUAUAAACUCGAGCCUUAGGAUGAGACGGCGGCCGAUUAGGUAGAUGGCGGUGUAAUGGACCACCAUGCCUUGGAUCGGUACGGGCCAUGAGAGUGGUAGCCCGGAGAGGGACACUGAGAGACUGGUCCCAGCCCUACGGGGUGCAGCAGGCGCGAAAACUUUCCAAUGCACGCAAGUGUGAGAAGGGAAUCCAAAGUGCUCAGGCUUUGCUUGGGCUUUUGCUAUGUGUAAAUAGCAUGGCGAAUAAGUGGUGGGCAAGACUGGUGCCAGCCGCCGCGGUAACCCCAGCGCCACGAGUGGCACUCGCGUUUAUUGGGCCUAAAGCGUCCGUAGCAGGUUCUAUACAUCCCUUGUGAAAUUGCCAAGCUCAACUUGGCAGAGUGCAGGGGGCACGGUAGGACUUUG